This 89-nucleotide transfer RNA is filed under the name Nephromyces sp. ex Molgula occidentalis. RNAcentral's name for it is "tRNA-Ser". It matches the Rfam family "tRNA". Rfam says of the family: Transfer RNA (tRNA) molecules are approximately 80 nucleotides in length. Their secondary structure includes four short double-helical elements and three loops (D, anti-codon, and T loops). Further hydrogen bonds mediate the characteristic L-shaped molecular structure. tRNAs have two regions of fundamental functional importance: the anti-codon, which is responsible for specific mRNA codon recognition, and the 3' end, to which the tRNAs corresponding amino acid is attached (by aminoacyl-tRNA synthetases). tRNAs cope with the degeneracy of the genetic code in two manners: having more than one tRNA (with a specific anti-codon) for a particular amino acid; and 'wobble' base-pairing, i.e. permitting non-standard base-pairing at the 3rd anti-codon position. The record is from RNAcentral. Lineage: Eukaryota; Apicomplexa; Aconoidasida; Nephromycida.
GGAGAAAUGGCAGAGUAGGUCUAUUGCAUCUGAUUUGAAAUCAGAAGAAUUAUAUUUAAGUUCCGUGAGUUCAAAUCUCACUUUCUCCU